UUAGGACAAGAUCUAAGCUUUGAUGUUUGUAAGAAAGUGGUGCAGGUAUGUUUCUAUAGCUGUCGUUAUUAGUGUGGCAAGAAAGAGUAUUUAUCUCGUAUUCUUUUAUAACCUAUGUGCUGAAAGAGUAUUUAUCUCGUAUUCUUUUAUAACCUAUGUGCAGUUAAUUCAAGGGAACAUCUCGGUAGUCCCUGGCUCGGACGGCUCGCCGGAAACCAUAUCACUGCUCCUCAGGUUUCGACGCCGG
This 247-nucleotide long non-coding RNA is filed under the name Brassica napus (rape). RNAcentral describes it as "long non-coding RNA (BNAP_LNC009902)". The record is from RNAcentral. Lineage: Eukaryota; Viridiplantae; Streptophyta; Magnoliopsida; Brassicales; Brassicaceae.